RNAcentral lists this ribosomal RNA (253 nucleotides) under uncultured bacterium. Its description in RNAcentral is "partial 16S ribosomal RNA". It matches the Rfam family "Bacterial small subunit ribosomal RNA", at positions 524 to 776 of the family's 1533-position model. The record is from RNAcentral.
UACGGAGGGGGCUAGCGUUGUUCGGAAUUACUGGGCGUAAAGCGCGCGUAGGCGGCUUUGUAAGUUAGCGGUGAAAGCCCGAAGCUCAACUUCGGAAUUGCCUUUAAGACUGCAUCGCUAGAAUCGUGGAGAGGUGAGUGGAAUUCCGAGUGUAGAGGUGAAAUUCGUAGAUAUUCGGAAGAACACCAGUGGCGAAGGCGACUCACUGGACACGUAUUGACGCUGAGGUGCGAAAGCGUGGGGAGCAAACAGG